AGAGCGAACGCUGGCGGCAGGCCUAACACAUGCAAGUCGAACGGACCCUUCGGGGUUAGUGGCGGACGGGUGAGUAACACGUGGGAACGUGCCUUUAGGUUCGGAAUAGCUCCUGGAAACGGGUGGUAAUGCCGAAUGUGCCCUUCGGGGGAAAGAUUUAUCGCCUUUAGAGCGGCCCGCGUCUGAUUAGCUUGUUGGUGGGGUAAUGGCCCACCAAGGCUACGAUCAGUAGCUGGUCUGAGAGGAUGACCAGCCACAUUGGGACUGAGACACGGCCCAAACUCCUACGGGAGGCAGCAGUGGGGAAUCUUGCGCAAUGGGCGAAAGCCUGACGCAGCCAUGCCGCGUGUAUGAUGAAGGUCUUAGGAUUGUAAAAUACUUUCACCGGUGAAGAUAAUGACUGUAGCCGGAGAAGAAGCCCCGCUAACUUCGUGCCAGCAGCCG
RNAcentral lists this ribosomal RNA (444 nucleotides) under uncultured soil bacterium. Its description in RNAcentral is "bacterial SSU rRNA". It matches the Rfam family "Bacterial small subunit ribosomal RNA", at positions 26 to 517 of the family's 1533-position model. The record is from RNAcentral.